Molecule: ribosomal RNA, 301 nt
Filed under: uncultured bacterium
Lineage: Bacteria
Description: partial 16S ribosomal RNA
Rfam family: Bacterial small subunit ribosomal RNA
Source: RNAcentral
CAGUCGCCACGGUAAUACGGAGGGGGCUAGCGUUGUUCGGAAUUACUGGGCGUAAAGCGCACGUAGGCGGUUUUGUAAGUCAGAGGUGAAAGCCCGGAGCUCAACUCCGGAACUGCCUUUGAGACUGCAUCACUUGAACGUCGGAGAGGUGAGUGGAAUUCCGAGUGUAGAGGUGAAAUUCGUAGAUAUUCGGAAGAACACCAGUGGCGAAGGCGACUGACUGGACAAGUAUUGACGCUGAGGUGCGAAAGCGUGGGGAGCAAACAGGAUUAGAUACCCGCGUAGUCCCUGUCUCUUAUAC